This 466-nucleotide ribosomal RNA is filed under the name uncultured bacterium. RNAcentral describes it as "bacterial SSU rRNA". It matches the Rfam family "Bacterial small subunit ribosomal RNA", at positions 29 to 481 of the family's 1533-position model. The record is from RNAcentral.
AGUGAACGCUGGCGGUAGGCCUAACACAUGCAAGUCGAACGGCAGCACAGUAAGAGCUUGCUCUUAUGGGUGGCGAGUGGCGGACGGGUGAGGAAUACAUCGGAAUCUACCUUUUCGUGGGGGAUAACGUAGGGAAACUUACGCUAAUACCGCAUAAGACCUUCGGGUGAAAGCCGGGGACCUUCGGGCCUGGCGCGGAUAGAUGAGCCGAUGUCGGAUUAGCUUGUUGGCGGGGUAAAAGCCCACCAAGGCGACGAUCCGUAGCUGGUCUGAGAGGAUGAUCAGCCACACUGGAACUGAGACACGGUCCAGACUCCUACGGGAGGCAGCAGUGGGGAAUAUUGGACAAUGGGCGCAAGCCUGAUCCAGCCAUACCGCGUGGGUGAAGAAGGCCUUCGGGUUGUAAAGCCCUUUUGUUGGGAAAGAAAUCCUGCCGAUUAAUACUCAGUAGGGAUGACGGUACCCA